RNAcentral lists this ribosomal RNA (253 nucleotides) under uncultured bacterium. RNAcentral's name for it is "partial 16S ribosomal RNA". It matches the Rfam family "Bacterial small subunit ribosomal RNA", at positions 524 to 776 of the family's 1533-position model. The record is from RNAcentral.
UACGGAGGGUGCAAGCGUUAUCCGGAUUCACUGGGUUUAAAGGGUGCGUAGGCGGGCAGGUAAGUCAGUGGUGAAAUCUCCGGGCUUAACUCGGAAACUGCCGUUGAUACUCUCUGUCUUGAAUCCCGUGGAGGUGAGCGGAAUAUGUCAUGUAGCGGUGAAAUGCUUAGAUAUGACAUAGAACACCAAUUGCGAAGGCAGCUCGCUACACGAAGAUUGACUCUGAGGCACGAAAGCGUGGGGAUCAAACAGG